GGACCCGCACAAGCGGUGGAGCAUGUGGUUUAAUUCGAUGCAACGCGAAGAACCUUACCUGGUCUUGACAUCCUGCGAACUUUCUAGAAAUAGAUUGGUGCCUUCGGGAACGCAGUGACAGGUGCUGCAUGGCUGUCGUCAGCUCGUGUCGUGAGAUGUUGGGUUAAGUCCCGUAACGAGCGCAACCCCUAUCCUUAUUUGCCAGCACAUUAUGGUGGGAACUAUAAGGAGACUGCCGGUGAUAAACCGGAGGAAGGCGGGGACGACGUCAAGUCAUCAUGGCCCUUACGACCAGGGCUACACACGUGCUACAAUGGGAUGGACAAAGAGUCGCGAAGCCGCGAGUGUAG
RNAcentral lists this ribosomal RNA (350 nucleotides) under uncultured bacterium. RNAcentral's name for it is "bacterial SSU rRNA". It matches the Rfam family "Bacterial small subunit ribosomal RNA", at positions 917 to 1267 of the family's 1533-position model. The record is from RNAcentral.